This 1808-nucleotide long non-coding RNA is filed under the name Mus musculus (house mouse). RNAcentral describes it as "long non-coding RNA chr14:122480058-122481866". The record is from RNAcentral. Lineage: Eukaryota; Metazoa; Chordata; Mammalia; Rodentia; Muridae.
GAGUAAACGUUGUGCCGUUAGCUUUUUUCCGAAAUAACACCCUUCUGUAAAUAUCCGUUGCCAUAUUUAUCCAUUUGUAAUUAAAUUAUGGUAUUAACUUGCUACAGAGGAAACAAUAUUUAUAAAGAAUGUUUCUUAACUAUAAAUAUGUACAAUUGUGGGCAUAAACUGUUUCAGAUUUUUUAUUUGAAGGUUUAAGUGGUUUGAUCAUUUCUUGUGAUGUUUUGAGAGUAAUGCAUACAGAAAUAUAAUAAAAUGUGUUGAAACUGCAUGAACAUACUUUUUCCCCCCCUAGCAGAGUUAUUGAAGAGAAUGGGAAGGAGUCAGCUUGAGGCAUGACGAGGGUAUGGAUUGGGGGAGGGGGGAAGUGCCACCUUGCAUUCUUUGGAGGAAGGUCUAUUUAUGCAUAGAGAAUGGGCUAAACUGCCCCUUUGGCAGAAAGUCUCAAAAUUAUUUUCUACAUCCUUUUGUUGGGUAGCUGAGGAUGAAUUAAAUUUUUGGAAAGCCCCUGUGAGGAAUGGCGGCAGGAACCUUCAGAGUGUCUAAUGGCUCCAUUAUCUAAGGGAAUGCCUUUCUUUCUUUCAGCUAUUUGGGCUGGCUUUAAGAGCACUAAACAUUUCCUUAUUCUUUGUUUUCUUUCCCUACCCUGCCCCCUUCCUCUCUCCCUCCCUCUGAAAAGCUGAGGUACAGUUAUUUUUAAUUGCACGUUUAAAACUGAGCCGAGUACUUUGUUUUUGAACUUGGCCCAGUGAUUAUAGUUUAAAGGGGCUCGUUUUUUUUUUUUUCCUUGAUAUUUUAAGCAGAGCUUGCUCAAUAAACCCUGUUUAUCUUAAGCAGCUCUGCAGUGGUGCUCAAGGGAAAGUAAUAAAUAGGAUAUGCUUUAAUAUUUUUUAUUUGCCGUCAUAGAUAGGGAUACAUCUACUCUGAAGGAAAGAAUGCAGCAAAAUUAUUUUAUACAAAGGCUAAUGUUGCCAGGUGGAAGUGAAUAGGAGUACUGAAUUUUCUGGAAUCUUUGCCACCGUGCUGCCCUGCCCCCACAGGAGUUGGUGUGAGUUUUCAAACAAGAUGCUGUAAAGAAAGCAAAAAUAAUUUUAGUAAUAAAAGGAUAGAGAUGGGGGAAAUUAUUUUUUAGUUCCUGAGCUAUCAAGACUUCCCUCCCACUGAGUGUCCCUGUAGCUCCGAUAGGCCCUGGGCUUUGGAGGAGCUGCUCUCAGGGGAGGGAGCAGACCUGGUCAGCUUCAGAGGCUCCUACUGUGCGAUCCGGAUGAGCCAGAGCAGCCCAGGGCUGAGUCCUCUGCGGAUGGAUGGAAGACCGCACGGUCCUUUGCUACCUCAGGGUCAGGCAUGACAGCCCGAGGGAUGUUUGGGAAGAGGUCAACACUCACCUCCCACAGGCCAUGCUACCUGUUCAGCGGCAAGCGAACAUGCAUCCAGCCUGCCUGCUUGUGAUACUCUCUGGGUGACAAGUGCCAGGCUCGCCCUCCCCAGCGGCCCGCGAGCUGCCUAAGCGCCAAUUUCGGAAGCAAUCAACCCUCUAUUAAAAUCAAAUUUAUAACCCCUAAUAAUAUUAAGCAAAAUUAUUAGAAAAAUUGGCAUAUGUUACUGAGCCUUGGGAGAAUUCAUUGAACACACAAGCCAUGAGAAAAAUCGUUUAGGGUUUUUGCCGAGCCCCUUGCCCCUGGGGGAGCAGGCAAAAGAGUCAGAUUAAAUAUUCAUUUGGUGGGCAAGAAGAAAAUGGUUCUACUCAAAUGUUUUUAACCUUUUCAUUGUGGGGCUGAAAACUAUAGUUUUGAGAUAUCACAAAUCUU